AGGCAGCAGUGGGGAAUAUUGCACAAUGGGGGAAACCCUGAUGCAGCCAUGCCGCGUGUGUGAAGAAGGCCUUCGGGUUGUAAAGCACUUUCAGCGAGGAGGAAAGGUUGAUACCUAAUACGUAUCAGCUGUGACGUUACUCGCAGAAGAAGCACCGGCUAACUCCGUGCCAGCAGCCGCGGUAAUACGGAGGGUGCAAGCGUUAAUCGGAAUUACUGGGCGUAAAGCGCACGCAGGCGGUUGGAUAAGUUAGAUGUGAAAGCCCCGGGCUCAACCUGGGAAUUGCAUUUAAAACUGUCCAGCUAGAGUCUUGUAGAGGGGGGUAGAAUUCCAGGUGUAGCGGUGAAAUGCGUAGAGAUCUGGAGGAAUACCGGUGGCGAAGGCGGCCCCCUGGACAAAGACUGACGCUCAGGUGCGAAAGCGUGGGGAGCAAACAGGGAUUAGAUACCCUGGUAGUCCACGCCGUAAACGAUGUCGAUUUGGAGGCUGUGUCUUGAGACGUGGCUUCCGGAGCUAACGCGUUAAAUCGACCGCCUGGGGGAGUACNGCCGCAAGGUUNAAACUCAAAUGAAUUGACNGGGGC
Molecule: ribosomal RNA, 583 nt
Filed under: uncultured Aeromonas sp.
Lineage: Bacteria; Pseudomonadati; Pseudomonadota; Gammaproteobacteria; Aeromonadales; Aeromonadaceae
Description: bacterial SSU rRNA
Rfam family: Bacterial small subunit ribosomal RNA
Source: RNAcentral